This 465-nucleotide ribosomal RNA is filed under the name Vreelandella stevensii. RNAcentral describes it as "partial 16S ribosomal RNA". It matches the Rfam family "Bacterial small subunit ribosomal RNA", at positions 338 to 795 of the family's 1533-position model. Lineage: Bacteria; Pseudomonadati; Pseudomonadota; Gammaproteobacteria; Oceanospirillales; Halomonadaceae. The record is from RNAcentral.
CCUACGGGGGGCUGCAGUGGGGAAUAUUGGACAAUGGGGGCAACCCUGAUCCAGCCAUGCCGCGUGUGUGAAGAAGGCCCUCGGGUUGUAAAGCACUUUCAGUGAGGAAGAACGCCUGGUGGUUAAUACCCAUCAGGAAAGACAUCACUCACAGAAGAAGCACCGGCUAACUCCGUGCCAGCAGCCGCGGUAAUACGGAGGGUGCGAGCGUUAAUCGGAAUUACUGGGCGUAAAGCGCGCGUAGGUGGCUUGAUAAGCCGGUUGUGAAAGCCCCGGGCUCAACCUGGGAACGGCAUCCGGAACUGUCAAGCUAGAGUGCAGGAGAGGAAGGUAGAAUUCCCGGUGUAGCGGUGAAAUGCGUAGAGAUCGGGAGGAAUACCAGUGGCGAAGGCGGCCUUCUGGAUUGACACUGACACUGAGGUGCGAAAGCGUGGGUAGCAAACAGGAUUAGAUACCCUUGUAGUC